AGAGAGAGGCUGCUGGGUGACCAGAUGAUGCCAGCAAGACCUCCUCUUCCAUCUAUUCCUGGUGGUGAAGGAGAAGCAACGGCUGUGGAAGCAGCUCAGGGUCCAGUGUGCUUUGAAGAUGUCACUGUUCGUUUCACAGAUGAGGAAUGGGCGUUGCUGGAUCCUGACCAGAGAGCUCUGCAUAAGGAAGUCAUGGAGGAGAAUUGUGGGAUAGUGGCCUCUCUCAGUAAGGCUCCCUUUUGGAUUGUAAUCUCUCUUUGGAAAUUCCAUGCAUCUCUCUCUGUGAUAAGCCUCCCUGGUUUUGAGGGAGCUCUGCAGGGCCACUUGCAGCACCUGGGAUUCUAAUACCCCCAAAACUGACCUUAAAUGGAGGGCUAUCAGCAGGUUUUGACCGUGGACAUGAUGAACCCAGCAUAGAGCUUGCUGAGAAUGGAGUGGGAACAUGCUGGGAAUUUGAGGUUAGGAAAGCACAUCUUUGUUUGACACUGUCCUGCCUUGUAUUUCCCAAAAUCUUCCUGACACAGAGCUUGUGGAAGGCAUUGAGGGGUUGUUUCUGAUGGUUGUAAUUGUCCACAAUUCACUUCACAAAGCAGCUUGCUCAACACACAAUCCUGAUAGACCUUCAUCUUGGUAUUGGUUAGCAUCCCAUUCACCCAUACGGUGGUCCCUCGGGUUACAGACACUUCAGGUUACAGACGCUUCAGGUUACAGACUCCGCUAACCCAGAAAUAGUACCUUGGGUUAAGAACUUUGCUUCAGGAUGAGAACAGAAAUUGUGCGGCAGCGGCAUGGCGGCAGCGGUAGGCCCCAUUAGCUAAAGUGGUACCUCAGGGUAAGAACAGUUUCAGGUUAAGAACAGACCUCCAGAACGAAUUAAGUUCUUAACCAGAGGUACCACUGUACUCUUUUGGAGAGGUGAGCCGUUGCCGGAACUGCCUCGCCAGUACACUUGUCCAGGUCAGCAUCAACGAAGAGGUUGUUGGUUUCUUAGGUAGACACAAUCAUCCACCACCUCCAUUGUCUGAAACUCGCAUGGUGCUAGGCACAUUUUGCAACAGGGAAUGUCAUAGACACGAGCAGUUUCCGAGCUCUGCUCGCAGAAUCUAAUAUUUCGGAUUAAAACUGCAGAGUGGAAGGAAAGAAGGACCUUUUUCUGCCUCCCCACUUCCAGCUACUCUCUAAAGACUGAAGGAGAGACCUUCUUAAAAACUCAGAGGGGUGGGCAGGGGAAGGACCAGACCAUGUGAAAAAUGAACAUAUUAUUUCAGCUGCUGUUCAUUCCUUUUCAGCUUUGUAUUUUUGUCAUA
Long non-coding RNA from Podarcis raffonei (Aeolian wall lizard), 1307 nucleotides. RefSeq lists it as uncharacterized. The transcript has 3 exons. The record is from RefSeq and is a predicted model, not a curated record. Lineage: Eukaryota; Metazoa; Chordata; Lepidosauria; Squamata; Lacertidae.